Molecule: ribosomal RNA, 775 nt
Filed under: uncultured Neocallimastigales
Lineage: Eukaryota; Fungi; Neocallimastigomycota; Neocallimastigomycetes; Neocallimastigales
Description: partial large subunit ribosomal RNA
Rfam family: Eukaryotic large subunit ribosomal RNA
Source: RNAcentral
AGAGAGAGACAUGCGCGCAUAUCAAUAAGCGGAGGAAAAGAAACUAACAAGGAUUCCCUUAGUAACGGCGAGUGAAGCGGGAAGAGCUCAAAUUUGAAAUCUUCAAGGUUCUACCUUGACGAAUUGUAGUUUAUAGAAGUGUUUUCUGUUAGUGGAGUGGCAAAAGUUCUUUGGAAUAGGACAUCAUAGAGGGUGAGAAUCCCGUAUUUGGUCAUUCCUCCUAGCGUUGUGAUACACUUUCAACGAGUCGGAUUGUUUGGGAAUGCAGUCCAAAUGGGUGGUAAAUUUCAUCUAAAGCUAAAUAUUGGCGAGAGACCGAUAGCGAACAAGUACCGUGAGGGAAAGAUGAAAAGAACUUUGAAAAGAGAGUUAAACAGUACGUGAAAUUGUCAAAAGGGAAGCGUUUGACACCAGUGUUGUUUUUCCGAAAAUCAAUUACGAAUGUUUUAGUUUUUGAGGAGUUAUGACUUCAUCGGCUUGCUCCUUUCUUUAUGAAACUUUCUUAAUGCACUUUUCGGUUAACAAGUCAACAUCAAUUUCUUUUGUUGUAAAAGGGUAUGAGGAAGGUGGCUUUCUUUUCGGAGAAAGUGUUUAUAGCCUUGUGCCUCUGCAAUCGGAGAGAUUGAGGUCUGCAGCGUAGAUCCUUCGGGGUUAGAUACAGUUUGUGCUAAGUUAUAGCUUUUCAUAGACAACUUGUUGACUAUGUUUAGUCUUGUAGCUUACUCGCUGAUGCUAUUUUACCUACGCUUAGGAUGUUGAUAGUCACAGCGUGUAC